This 2113-nucleotide long non-coding RNA is filed under the name Homo sapiens (human). RNAcentral's name for it is "HSALNT0236249". The record is from RNAcentral. Lineage: Eukaryota; Metazoa; Chordata; Mammalia; Primates; Hominidae.
AUUGACUUCCACAGGCUCUUCAAGAGUCUAUGACAAGCACAGCCCUGUGCUCGAGGACAGGGUUGGCUGAAUGUUAGGAUAGUUAAAUUCUUCAGUUAAUAAUCAUACUCAAAGGAUAAUAGAUCAGGGUUAUCCUGGAGAAGGUUUCUUGGGUGCAGUGGUGCAUGCUUGAAGUCCCAGAUCCUUGGGAGGCUGAGGCAAGAGGAUCGCUUGAGCCCAGGAAUUUGAGACCAACAUGGGCAACACCGGGAGACCCAUUCUCAAAACCAAAAACCACUGCAAGUAGCUUGGGUGUAGAUCUGUUUAUUAAAUUUGCACGGGUGCAUGGGACACAAUUGGAUGGCUAGCGUCUAUUUGGAAUUGUCUGACAAGGAUUUUCAAAAAGUUGCAUGGUGAAAUUUCACAGGGUUUAUAGACUAUGGCUCUGUCUUUGAGCCCCUCAGUUGUGUUAAGUGCAGGAGAAAGAUAAUGGCUUAGCAGAAAUAGGGGGGUUCAGAGAUGGGUGGAGACCUUCAGGGCACCUUGCUGCUUUAGUUCGCUGGAGCAGGUGAUGCAGGAAAGGAGGCAUGAGGAUGUGGCUGGCCAGGUUUACGGGGGUCAGGUGGUGAGAGCCUCGAAAGCUGUGCUCAGGAACUUGGGCCGUGUUCUAAGUGGCAGGCAUUCCUUUACAGUUCAUCCUUGAGGGAAGUGACUCCUCUUUUUGACCAGCUUUGGCAGGCUGUGGAGGAGAGUUGGACCUGGGAGAGCAGAGAGGAGAUUUACACAGGUCCACGUGGAGGCUGGUGCAGUCUGGCUUCGGGGCAAGAGGAGCCCCUUUAAGGAGCGUGAAGAGGACUUGGAGAAGGCCAUGUCCCAGAAAAGAACUUCAAACAGGAGGCAGAAAACAUAGAAAACAUCGUGCUGUUGAGAAAUGUCCAUUGGAUCUGGGGAAGAGUAAGACCUCGUGAAGGAAGGAGAGAAGAUGGUGCGGUGAGGUGCCGGCCCUGCUCCGCCGCCACUCACACCUCAGCACAGGGACUGUGGCAACCCAGGCGCCUGCCCUACUUGGUUCCUGAAUGGAUGGCAGAUAAGAAAAGAAACCUCUUGCUGAAAUGCUGAAACUUCCUCUGCUUAUGAGAUUAAAAAAACUGGCUGAAAUCAGUUGGAAUCCAUAUGGCCAGCUGGAGUCUAUGCAGAAUGAGCCCGCUGACCUCACAGCCUUUCCACUGCACCUUUCACACUAGCGCCCCCCAAAUUUGCACCUAUGACCCAUGAAGAGGCAUGAAGAUACCACUGUGGAGGCCCGAGGACUUUCCAGACCUUUCCUUCCCUUCCACUAAUCACCUAUUCAUCUCAGAAUCCACCCGCUAAACAUUUUUUUUUUUUUUUUGAGACGGGAGUCUCGCUCUGUCGCCCAGGCUGGAGUGCAGUGGUGCGAUCUCCGCUCACUGCAAGCUCCGCCUGCCGGGUUCACGCCAUUCUCCUGCGUCAGCCUCCCGAGUAGCUGGGAAUACAGGCGUCUGCCACCACUAAUUUUUUUGUAUUUUUUAGUAGAGAUGGGGUUUCACCGUGUUAGCCAGGAUGGUCUCGAUCUCAUGACCUCGUGAUCCGCCCGCCUUGGCCUCGGAAAGUGCUGGGAUUACAGGCGUGAGCCACCGCGCCCGGCUUAAACAUUUUCUAAUGAAGACACUGCCUUAAAGCUGGCACAGAAAGAUUUGAGCUGGACUUCUGUCUCCUUGUUGGUCGAACUGCGAUAACAAGCUUUCGUUUUCUCAAAAACCUGGUGCCAUAGUAUCGGCUUCUAGUGCAUGGGGCAGCGAGCCCUUUCACUCGGUAACACUGCGUCAGGAACUGGCAUGCAUUUUGGUGGUCUCACAACCCCAGCUCUGCCCCCCAGCACAUCUCGUUGAGAGGUGACAGCGUGCCGGCAGCUCUCGGCGCCUCCUCGGCCUUGGCGCCCACUCUGGCCUUGCUUGAGAAGCCCUUCAGCCCGCCGCUGCACUGCGGGAGCCCCUUUCUGCGCUGGCCAAGGCCGGAGCCGGCACCCUCAGCUUGCGGGGAGGUGUGGAGGGAGAGGCGCGAGCGGGAACAGGGGCUGCGCGCGGUGCUUGCUGGCCAGCGUGAGUUCCGGGUG